UCAGGAACUGCAUCGCGUAGGGAUAAUGCUUCGCGAGUGACAUCGCAACGGGCAAAUGCACCUCGCGUGGGCUUGUAACUCUUUCUGUAUUUUUUGCAUAUAAUCCAGAAUUAAAAAUAAAAUUAUUGUGAGGCAAGGCAGAGAUGAGGAAAAAUGGUAAAACUACGUUGUAUUUUUUAUUGGUACUCGCAUUAUGUACAAGAGUAUAUGCAGCAAAUGCCAGACACAUAAUUACCAAAAGAAAUUACAGCGACCAAAGUGUGAGAGGCUAUCUAGCAGAGAGAACUUGCUGGUGGAACGAAGUAUGCAAGGAAGAAUUUCACAGUAAGUUUCGGUGUCGCUGCCCGAGAUGGUCCUAUUGCCGUGCACCAGGAAGAUAUUAUGAUGCGCACUGCAGCAUGACACGCACAGGAUACAUAUGGACCCAACCAGAAGCAUCGUUAAGUCUCGAAAUCGAUAAAUAAGUAAUGCUGACCCCGCGAAGAAGGACAGGUGAAUUAAAAAGAAUCGAUAAGAAUCUCUUUCUCUCUCUCUCUCUCUUGCAAUCAUAAAAUAAAGAAUGGCAGUACGAUACAAAUCAAAUAUCUCCAGUUUAAAAUCAAAAUCGGUAUUUGUUAGAGUUUCGCAAAUUAUUCAUCAAUUGAGAUGUUAUAUAAUUGUUCCAAAAGAGAUUUUCUAUAUUAGAGCAGCUUUAGAAAAUAUACGGAAAUAUUGGAUAACAUUCGAAGAAAGGGAUUUGGAUUUGAAGAAGAAAUGAUCUGUAUUUGCAGCGACAAAUACUUAUGCUGCCAAGAAUUUAUAAUUGUUGCGUUAUAUAAAAACUUAUUGUGAUUACUAUUAAUAAAGGUUUAAUGAAAUAAUUUGUAAA
Monomorium pharaonis (pharaoh ant) is the source of this 868-nucleotide RNA transcript. RefSeq lists it as uncharacterized. NCBI's taxonomy places the organism in Eukaryota, Metazoa, Arthropoda, Insecta, Hymenoptera, Formicidae. The transcript is spliced from 4 exons. The record is from RefSeq and is a predicted model, not a curated record.